UGCUGUUUUCCUAUCACAGAACAGAGCACAGAGUCUGUGAGGGAGCCAGAGUCUACAGGCAUUAUCGCCUCCUAUUUCUUAUAUUUUGUGUCGUUAGUGGCGCUCCCUGUAGACGCUGCCUGCUGCCAGCUGCUGCUCUAGCCUUCUGGAAAAGAGGGGGGCAAUUAGACCUUGUGCCUAAAACAAGUCACACAGCGGCCGGACUUCUGCCGGACCUUUCCAAGGUUUGAGACUCCAGUGAACCACAGUGAGAGCCAUUAUCCACAGAGAAAACAUGGAACAGUGGUGAACCUUCCCAGGAGUGGCCCGUCUAUCAAAACUACUCCAAGAGUACAUUGAUGACUCACCCAGGAGGUCACAAAAGAACUCAGAAUGACAUUUAUAGCUUUCCAGGCCUCAUUUGCCUCAGUUAAGGUCAGAGUUAAUGAUUAUACGAUAAGACAGAGAGACUGGGCAAAAAUGGCCUCAUGGGAGAGUUCCAAUGACAAAACCAUUGCUGCUCCAAAAGAACAAAAAGGUUCUCUCAUUUGCCAAAAAACAUCUUGAUGGUCCACAAGACUUAUUGGCAUAGAUUCUGUAAAGAUGUGUGUACUGUUACAUCUGGUGUAAAACUAACACAGCAUUUGAGAAAAAAGAACAUCAUACCUGCUGUCAAACAUGGUGGUGGUAGUGUGAUGGUCUGGGCUGCUUCAGGAUCUGCUGCAAUUGAUGAAACCAUGAAUUUGGAAAAUUUAGAAAAGCCUUCUAAUGUGGCUGAAAUUAAAUAAUUCUGCAAAGACAAGUUGGCCAAAAUUCCUCCACAGUGAUUUAAAUGACUCAUUCCAAGUUAUUACAAACAUUUGAUGGCAAUUAUUGGCGGGAAGGUUGGAACAACAAGUUAUUAUGUUAAGGGGGCAAUUACUUUUUCAUAUACUACCAGAUUAGUUUAGAUAGCUUUUUCCUCUUUAUAAAUAAAAUCAUCAUUGGAAAACCCUUUUUAUUUACUCAGUUUAUCUUUGUCUGAUAUUAACAUUUGUUUGAUGAUCUGAAGCAUUUAAGUGUGACAAGAAAGCAAAAACAAGGAAUCUGAAAGGGACAAACAUGUUGUAACAGCACAGUAUGUUAUUUUCUCACUGCUCUGUAAAACUUUGGUGCUCCUGCAUGAUAGCUCUGCAUUUGGCUCUUUUAUUAUCUUCAAGGACGAGAUUAACUUUCUCUUUCCAUCCUACCAGAAAAAGAUGAGGAGAGACAUUACUAUCAGUGCCUUCAUUGGUUUAUGCUUGGUUCUGAAUAGACUGAAUGUUUGCUGGGUGAGGUCCAAUAAAACAAGGUGAAGUAGUCUAAACACAGACAGCCUUUCCUCUUCUGUCUUAUCAAUGUCUGAGCAGAAAGAUGAGAGGGUAUUACACCAUUGAAACAUAUGCACACAGCAUGAACGUAUUGAGUUAAAGAAUAAACCAUUUAUUUACUAGGCAUUUUUUACAAGCAUAGUUACAAAGUGCUGUACAAGACAUGAAAAUCAUAAAAAUCUAAAUCCCAGCAAACAAAAAAGGCCUAAAACAUAAAUAUAUUAUAGACAAAAGAAGUAAGAACAUGCCUAAGAAGGUAAAAUAUUAGUGCUACUAUCACGAAACUGCUUUAUAUGUGAGCACUAACACUUCGAAAUGAAACCAAUAAAAAGCUUAUUAAACAAGAGUGUUGUUUGAACAUCAUUAAUAACCGGGCCGCUGAACUGAUGCUGAUUUGGCAAUGCAGAUGUAAACCUGUCUGCAUUAAAGACAGUUAUAACUGCAUAACACUUUAAAAGUUGCUUUAUACGUGUCAAACAAUCAUUUAUUUAGAGUAUUAAUAUUUCAGUCAUUUGCUAGUUGUGUGGAAAAUAAUGUCACAGAUGAGGUCCUAACAUCACUAAUGAAAACCAAAGGGUGUGUAGUAGAGUUCUUUCUAAGAUUGGUUUGGUGACAUUUAGCUUUCAGUAGGAGUUGUCAGAUGGCAUAAUAAAAUCCUCCAGCACCUGACCAUGUGAGUCAUCCUCUCCCUGUAACAAGCUGUCAAUGACUAUUGUGCAAACCUCAAGCCCUGAGGAGAACCAGUAGAGGAUCUGAUUCUCUGCUGGGAUCUGCCAACAACAAAAUGUAAAACCCAUGUAGCAACACCUGGACACAUGCCGGUUAAAAUGAGUCACUAAUUUAUGACCUAAAAUUUUAGGUUGGAAUGUAAAAAAAGAAGAGUAAUCUCAAACCAGCAAGACCAUCGGUGUGUUUGAAAUUCAAGAGUUAAGACUGCAGCAUCAACCCUUCGAUCACACCUGUAGGUAAAUUGUGAGGGUGUAGUCAUCUUGCAAUCUGAUAGUUGUGGGUUUGAUUCCAGCUUCCCCCUAUCACAUGUUGAUGUACCCUUGGGCAAGGCACUUAACCCCCAGUUACCUACCGAUCUGCAUAUCAGUAUAUGAAUGUGUGCACGUUAGUCAGUGCGAUAGGCUUAAUGUGGCUCUAACGAAAAGCGCUUGGAGUACUCAGUACGUCUAGAAAACCAGUAUAUAAAUUCAGUAUAUUUAACAUUGAAUUUAUCCUCGUCAGAUGUUACUAACUUCCUCUUGAACAGCUUUUAAGAAACUUUAAUGACAUUGUGUGCUGUGGAUCACUUCCGGUCUUUCUCGGGACCUCAGUGUCUAUGUGUAAGGUGGUCCUCUCACAAAGACACUGUUGGAACGAAGGUUCAUCUGAAACUGUACUUCCUGUGGCAUCUCAAAAGUACACCCCACCACAGGAGCUGCUGGCCAUCUUGUACACUGCCAUCACUCAGUCUGUCCUGUCUUCAUUCAUUACUGUGUGGCUUGGCCCAUUCACAAAACAGGACACGUCCAAACUAAAACAAACAAUCAGGACUUACCUUCUCUUCCAGCUUGUACAGGUCUAAGGUCAGGAAAAGGGCAGCUAACAUGUCUGCAGACCCCACACAUUGUGGACACAAACUUUUUAGACUUUUACCUUCAGUGCGGUGCUAUAGAGAGACAGUUUUCCCCCCAAGCUGUCUCUGAUGAACACAAUGAAAACCUUACAGCGGGAGUGGUCGUAUAUACCGCUCUUUUAUCCUUAUUUUAAAGUUUAUAUAUUUAUACCUACUGUCUGUACACAGUGAGCACUUGAAACCGAAGUCAAAUUCCUUGUUUGUGUGCACUGUUUUAAUUCUAAGUAAUUGUGGAAAUUAAUCCAGAAUUAUUUUCCACAAUACAGGAACCCUUUGCUGCUCUAAAGACUGAUUAUACACAUAUUAACAAAAUCUGGAGAGUUGGUCUGCACAAUGCUUUUUAUGAGGUGCCCAGAUAUAUUGUUCAGACCAGGACUCAUUUACUUCUACAGAGCACACUCCUGACAUCCUGAUCCUUAAAGACAAGAUCAGACAGUAGAGAAGAGGAAAACUCCUAUUUCAUCAGGUUAAUUUGAUCUCUAAAAUCCUAACUAUCAAACCCAAGGUAAAAGUUUUGAAAUGAUCAGCUAGUUCCUUGUCUUAAUUAAACCAAUUUAGUCUGAUGUGUGAAUUAUGUACUUUCUGAGUGCCUCAGCCUGCUGAAUAAAACCACUGUGGUCUACAGGAUCAAAUGCUGCAGUGGUCUUAAGUAGCACAAGCACAUAGCGAUGCCCAGCAUCACUGACCAUCAAAAAGAUCAUUCUAUACCUUUGAAAGAGCUGUUUCUGGAAUUUACAGUCUGGCUAAUGGAGAUUUAAAAUGUCAUUAUACCACCUUUUCCAAAACUACGCCAAUAGAUCCUGCUUUAGAUUGUCUGGUAAUCACAAACAAACAGUGAAGACCUCAUGUACAUGGUGUUUUCUGGUUUUGGAUAUUUAAUCUGUUUUCAGUUCAGAUCUUGUUUCAAAUUAAUCCAUUUUUGCUGUGAUAUGAAAGCAAAAAUAUAUUCUGCAAAAUACAGAAAAUAUCUGAGCAAUUGGCUUUUUUAAGGAGUGGCAGCAAGUGAAAAAACCAAUGUUAUUUUAGUGAAGUGUAGAAGCCUGCCAGGACCUUGCUCAAGCUGUGAAUUUUUAAUCCUCAGACCAGACCGAAGAGAUUCACACUCAUCCAUACACUGUGACAGACGUAAAGGCCACCUGACCUCGACUCUGCCUGGCUGAGGCGGUCAGGCAGCCAUCUGAGGACUGGGUAUAUACUCAUGAAAAAUGACAGCCUUCAACCUGGCCAAUCUUAAUAGAUGAUCUUGGCUGAGUCUUUCCCAAACCAGAGUAGCACUCAGAAUUGUUGCCCCCAUCCCCGGAUGAAACGGCAAGCGGAGUAGAACACCACAAAGACCGCCGAACCACCCGGCCAACGCCAUCAGCCCCAGCCUCCCUGUCCAUAAGAGAAAAAUAAAAAUAAUAAUAAUAAUCCAUUGUCUUCUACUUAAUAGAGUAGAAGAGUAGAUCAGAUUGCAGAGCUAACAGAUCCAGGAGGGGAACCCAGACAUAUUUCUGUCCGUCGACACUCUUCAUGCAUAUAGUUCCUCCACCAAGUUUUGGGCCUGCAUUCAGUUAAUAAUUCUAAGAAAAAUCAACAAGAACUUGUAAUUAUUGUAAUCCAGGAUUAAGCAUAAAACAUAAAACAUAAAAGCAAAGACUACCUUAUUUCUACUUUACUACUAUAUAUAGGAUAUAAAGUCCACCUGUGUGAAAUGACAGAAGUUACAUUUAUCAUGGGUUUAUUGAUCUGUCAGGAAUCAAUGAAAAGAUGUUUUGCUGCCGAAUUCUAGCGAAUGUCCACUACGAUUUUAGAGGCAGAAGACAAAAAUGGAGGAUUAAAAUGCUUGGAAUCCCCUGGAUCCAUCAGCUUUAAGCUCCAAAACCGACACUAACCUUAGCUUAUCCAAACAUGCAUCUGGGAUGUCCAUUAGUGCUAUACAGCCUACACGUCUAUAAAUAUACAUAUAUACUUGUUGCUACACACAGCACCAAAUUGUAUUAAUAUGCAAAUAUUUGUACACUGAUCUAUUUUUAAUUAUCUUUACCUAAUAUGUAGGUAAAUUAAAAUAAUUGCCAGUAAUAAUGCCAGUAAGGAUCCAGGUACUUUUGAUGACAAAAUUAAAAUGUGUGUGCAUGGAUGCGUAGUGCGAUGAUGUACUUGUCUGCAAAAAGCUCUCUGUCUUUUGUUCUCCAGGAGAUAGAGAGCAUCCGCUGCUCUAGUAACAACACAUAAAUAUGCAUUAAUCUGUUCUGGUUGGGCGAAUUUGAAGAACUGUCAAGCAUCAAAUGUAAAGGUCAUGCUUUGCUUGCUGUAAGGGGUAAAAUCCUGGAGACCACGGUUAGGGCAACAUUUGAAUAAACUAUGCAAGGAUUUACAAGCAGUAACCUUCAGGGCAAAGCACGCCCCCGUCCCCCACCAGGAAGUAGUUACUGUUACGGAUGGGUUCCGUCACUAACUUUGCCAUCCUGACUCAGGAUGUCACUGAGAUAAAAGUAAACAGAGCACUGAUAUAUGCUUUGAUUAGAAUACACUUUGUGUAUUCAUAUUAUUGUCUUUGUUUAAUCUCAGAUUGAAUAUAGUUCAUCAUUUCUCCAUUGGUUUUUUGAAGAACAAAAAGUCUUUGCAGAGUAAAUCUCCUCUUGAAUUUUGAGUAAAGGACCGGCAACCUAACCCCCACCCAUCUCUGGACCAUGACAGCCAGGCAGAAUGUGGCAGGUGGAGGUCUUUCAGGCAGAGCGAGGGGUGACCUUGCCACUUUAUUUCCCAUUGAAUCGGCUUGGUUCACAACACAGUGCCAGAUUUGUAACUCCACGGACAGCCAUAGUGAGCAGAGGGCUGGUCCCAUCCCCGGUCUCAUCGCAGCCCUGUGGCAGCAGAUGCCACAUGGCCGCCCCAGAGCCUUCAGCCAGCUAGUAGACGUAGGCGAGCGCCAGCCGGGUCACCGGAGCCCAUGUCUGUGUCAUGCAAAGAGAGGGCCUUCUCAGCAGGCGGCCCGGCAGCAUGCCGUCCUGUCCUGUCCCCCUUUCAUGGAGGAAGUGUGUAACAGCUCAUUUGUACGUGCUUUGUGUAGAUUAAAGCAAGAGUCUGUCAAAAGUAAUUAAACGCAAUAGAGUUUAUCGCUUUAUAGAUUACUGCUCUAGACAAAGCUGUUACAUACCUCCUAAAUGUACAGUGGUGUGAAAACUAUUUGUCUCCUCACGGAUGUCUUGUAUUUUUCUUUUUUGUCCUGUUUAAAUGUUUUAGUUAAUCCAACAAAUUUUCAUAAAGUCAUUGUGAUUUACCACAUUUUUAGGUGAGAUUUCACCAGGCACAUCUGUCAGACCUGUAAAAUAAAUAAAUCACUAAAAAGGAACCUGUCUGACAACUUGAAGUAGGCUUUUUAAUUUAUUAUAGCUGCUUUUUAAAUAAAUGUUUUUUGUUAAUGUUUUACAGUCUCAAUCAGUGCUGCAAGAAGCACAAAAAUACAGUUUUUGAUUCAGGAUUUAUUAACAAUAUCAAAAAACUGAUCAACUGAGUUUUUAAGAAUUGAGUCUGAUGACAGAUUCUGGGGAAACAUUUGCUGUGACUGCAGCUAUGCUGAUUAUUGACUUUCUGAUAUGCUGUCACAGUCAGUUACAGUGAGCCUUUGUUGUGAAACUUUUACUGCGUUUUGUCUGCAGCAGAUGAACUUCAGUGUUCCAGAGAAAGUUUUGAAUGAUUGUUUAACCUUCAUAAGCUCGCCGCCUACCACCUGAUGAAAGCAGUUCUUUCCUCCUAGCCUAUCUUAUGCCUGGAUCAAUGUUGGUGCUAUGAAAGAACCAGUUUUUCAGUGUCACAGCCAAGCCAGAGUUUGAAAUGCUUAAAAUAGAAAGAUUUGGUAAUAAGCAAUUGCUAGUACCAGAUGAGCACUGGAACCAGUUAGGUGGGAACAAACUUUGAGAAAUGUAUGUAACUCCUUACCCCAAAAUCACUAGCAGAUUGAUGGCAGUAGUCCCCAUCGCUUCUAUUAGCACUUCAGAAUAUAAGAAUGGUAGGAUAUUAGUUGUCAACACCACUAAUAAUUCCGUUGCGUUGCUUUAAAUGACCUAAAACCAAAACAGCAAUCUCUUACUUGAAGAUUUACAUGCUGUGUGCACUUGCUGUUAUAAGUAAUCAGUCCUGUUAUCCAAAGUAAAUCAUUAGCCAGUUAAGCAGUGGUGUAGCUGUUUUUUAAAGCAGGUCAGCUUUAAGCCCUCCUCAUGUAACGGCUCUGCUGCUGAGCCUCCAAGCAGACCACAUUCCAUGCUUCCUCACUCAGCUCAGUCAGCUGAAUCGACUCUUGAGCAGUUGGUCAUGCAGUUUCUCCCUCACAAAAAACAUCUAUUAUUUUCUAAACAACAUUGAAUGGCAAUCUAAUCUAAAUAAAGAUGAUUUACUCAAUUUAAAUGUUGGUGAAGCUGCAAGUCAAAAUGUUAACCUCUUGUUUUUUUCUCACAUAAAUCCUGAUUUAAAAGCUUCACUCCAAAACAAACCCAGCUGGAUGAGGUUCUUGAUGUUUCCUGUCCCCAAUGCAGCAACUUAAAUAUGUGGGAAAAAGGUGUUAAUUGUGAGAUUCAAUAAUCAGUUCUUUUUCUCUAUAAUAAAAUGAUACAGGAGGUUGGAAUGGCAAGCCAUAUUUAAAUUAGAAGGGACAAAAUAACCAUUUGGACUUGGUACAGUAAUAGCAUAAUAAAUUAUGUUCUUCUGGGGACAUUGCUUGAGGAAAUGUUUUAAAACGCCCAUGGGAACCAGCACUCAUCAAUCACACAUGGUGUGGUUUGGGCUGUUGUGAUGCCCAGCGGACUUGAGGCUGCAGAGCAGCCAGUAAUCUAAAUGGUGAGACUGAGCUCCAGGGCCCCCAUGGGGCUGCCCGCUCUAUCGCCUGCAAAGAAAACAGAUCAGGGUAGAAGGAUCAAGGUUUGUUUUCUCCCUUUUCUAGGUCAUUAUUUAUUAUGUGAAAUAUCAACGUCCUUGGCUGCAGCAUGGGAUCUUCCUCCCCCUGCAAUUGACAGAUCUCAUUAUAAGAUAAACGUGACAAAGAUAGCUCAUAAUGCUUCAGAGAAAUGUAACACCAUUAGCAGGUCAUUGUCAUCGUUCUAAUGUGUCCUUUUAAGCUGCUUAGUGAACUGGUGCUGAAGUGUGAUACAGGGAUUAACCUAUCAGAGAGUUGCUGCGGAGGAGUUGAGCUGCCAUUGAUGGAAAUUUUUGGAUGUGUGGUGAUAUCUUCCCAGGCGCUGUGCAGAGUCAUGGUAGAGCCUGAUUCGUAAACAUACUGAGGUAUAUGGUUGAGGAUGUCUAUAGGGUAUAGGCAUACAUAAGACUGGAAGUGGUGUGUCUGAAUUUCUUCAUGGAUCAAAUAUAUGCAUACUGAUUUUUUUUAUACCAAGAAAUUAUCUUGCCAUAUUUAUAAUUAGGUCAUUAAUUGGUUCCUGCUGUCAGUUUCAUCCAGUAAUACAAAAUAACUCUACAAUAUGAGCACUCACAUCACAUUUGCAAUACUUUUACUUUUUUUUAGGAAAGGGUUUGAUCUAACCAACUGUUUGUAAUGUGUUGAUUGGAUACAUACCGUAUAAUGUGGGUGCAUGUCACCUAAAUUAAUUAAUGAGUAAAUUUUAAACUUGAAUUGUGGAAAUAACUCCCAAAUUUGGUAAGAGGAAAAUUGGUCCAGGGUUAGGUGAUUUUUUAUGCAUUUAUUUUUCUUUUUUUGUUUGUUUUACCAGAAAGUAUGCACCUUUGAAAAUUCACAGUUAUUCAUUCAUUACUUAAUUUUUCUAUCUAUGAUUGGAAACUGACACAGUUAAACUUAUGAUUUUCACUGCCUCGUCAAUCAUUUAGUUAAGGAUCACAUUAACAUACGGUGCCUUCCAAAUGUUUUCAUACCCCCCUUUGAUUUUUUCUGUUUUGUCAAGUUACAACAACAAACUUGUAAAAAUGGAUUAGAACAAGGAUACAUUAAAUAUUAUUUCAAAUAAGAA
Girardinichthys multiradiatus is the source of this 8903-nucleotide long non-coding RNA. RefSeq lists it as uncharacterized. The record is from RefSeq and is a predicted model, not a curated record. The transcript has 3 exons. Lineage: Eukaryota; Metazoa; Chordata; Actinopteri; Cyprinodontiformes; Goodeidae.